AAUCUUGUCGGAAGCAGGCGGGACCAUCCGCCAAGGCUAAAUAUAAACGAGUGAGCGAUAGUGAACCAGUACCGUGAGGGAAAGGUGAAAAGAACCGCGGGAGCGGAGUGAAAGAGAACCUGAAACCGUAUGCCUACAAGAAGUCAGAGCCCGUUAAAGGGUGAUGGCGUGCCUUUUGUAGAAUGAACCGGCGAGUUACGAUAUUAUGCGAGGUUAAGCUGAGAAGAGCGGAGCCGCAGCGAAAGCGAGUCUUAAUAGGGCGGAAGUAGAAUGUCGUAGACCCGAAACCGGGUGAUCUAGCCAUGAGCAGGUUGAAGUUGAGGUGAAACUCAAUGGAGGACCGAACCGACUACCGUUGAAAAGUUAGCGGAUGACUUGUGGCUAGGGGAGAAAUUCCAAUCGAACCCGGAGAUAGCUGGUUCUCCCCGAAAUAGCUUUAGGGCUAGCGUCGCAGCGAGAGAGCCGUGAAGGUAGAGCACUGAAUAUGCGAUGGCCGCAUCCCGCGGUACUGAGCAUAAUCAAACUCCGAAUGUCACGGUGUCAUCUGCGGCAGUCAGACGGCGAGUGAUAAGGUCCGUCGUCAAGAGGGAAACAGCCCAGACCAUCAGCUAAGGUCCCAAAGUGCAUGCUAAGUGGAAAAGGAAGUGGAGACGUGCAGACAACUAGGAGGUUGGCUCAGAAGCAGCCAUCCUUCAAAGAGUGCGUAACAGCUCACUAGUCGAAUGACUCUGCGCCGAUAAUUUACCGGGGCUAAGCAUGACACCGAAGCUAUGGACAGGAAUGUGGUAGGGGAGCAUUGCAUGCAGCGGAGAAGCAUGACCGAAAGGGCAUGUGGAGCGCAUGGAAGAGAGAAUGCCGGCGUGAGUAGCGGCACGUGGGUGAGAAUCCCACGCACCGAUGGCCCAAGGUCUCCAGAGGAAGGCUCGUCCUCUCUGGGAUAGUCGGGACCUAAGGCGAGGCCGAAAGGCGUAGCCGAUGGACGACGGGUGGAUAUUCCCGUACCCGAUGUGUGGCGAUGGAGUGACGGAGAAGGCUCAGGCAACCAGCUGAUGGAAUAGCUGGGGCAAGCGAGAUACCUGCGCACCAGGGAAAUCCGGUGCGCAUAAGGGGAAGGCGCGAUGCAUACGGAAAGCUUCGGCAAGUACGGAAAAGCUGAGAGCAGGCUUCCAGGAAAAGCUUCUAGCACAACACACAUCGGCCCGUACCGAAAAUGGACACACAUGGGCAAGGAGAGAAUCCUGAGGUGAGCGAGAGAACUAUAGCUAAGGAACUCUGCAAAAUGACCCCGUAACCUAGGGAGAAGGGGUGCUCCAGAAAUGGAGCCGCAGUAAAACGGCCCAAGCGACUGUUUACCAAAAACACAGCUCUCUGCGAAGGCGCAAGCCGAAGUAUAGGGGGUGACGCCUGCCCGGUGCUGGAAGGUCAAGGGGAGCUGUCAGCGCAAGCGAAGCAGCGAGCCGAAGCCCCAGUAAACGGCGGCCGUAACUAUAACGGUCCUAAGGUAGCGAAAUUCCUUGUCGGGCAAGUUCCGACCCGCACGAAAGGCGUAACGAUUUGGGCGCUGUCUCAGCUGUAGACUCGGUGAAGUCUUAGUACCUGUGAAGAUGCAGGUUGCCCGCGACUAGACGGAAAGACCCCAUGGAGCUUCACUGCAGGUUGACAUUGGGCUUGGAUGCAUGAUGUACAGGAUAGGUGGGAGGCUGUGAGCCGUGCGCGCCAGCGUACGGGGAGCCGCUGUUGGGAUACCACCCUUCAUGCAUCUAGGUCCUAACCGGAGGCAACGGGCCACGGGACAGUGUCAGUCGGGCAGUUUGACUGGGGCGGUCGCCUCCCAAAGAGUAACGGAGGCGCCCAAAGAUACCCUCAGCAUGGAUGGAAACCAUGCAUAGAGUGCAAAGGCAUAAGGGUGUCUGACUGCGAGACAUACAGGUCGGGCAGGGACGAAAGUCGGGCUUAGUGAUCCGGCGGAUCCGAAUGGAAGGGCCGUCGCUCAACGGAUAAAAGCUACCCUGGGGAUAACAGGCUGAUCUCCCCCAA
Molecule: ribosomal RNA, 2037 nt
Filed under: human gut metagenome
Description: bacterial LSU rRNA
Rfam family: Bacterial large subunit ribosomal RNA
Source: RNAcentral